ACUCUGACCAGCCAUGCCGCGUGCAGGAAGACUGCCCUAUGGGUUGUAAACUGCUUUUAUCCGGGAAUAAACCUAAUUACGUGUAAUGAGCUGAAUGUACCGGAAGAAUAAGGAUCGGCUAACUCCGUGCCAGCAGCCGCGGUAAUACGGAGGAUCCAAGCGUUAUCCGGAUUUAUUGGGUUUAAAGGGUGCGUAGGCGGCCUGUUAAGUCAGGGGUGAAAGACGGUAGCUCAACUAUCGCAGUGCCCUUGAUACUGAUGGGCUUGAAUGGACUAGAGGUAGGCGGAAUGAGACAAGUAGCGGUGAAAUGCAUAGAUAUGUCUCAGAACACCGAUUGCGAAGGCAGCUUACUAUGGUCUUAUUGACGCUGAGGCACGAAAGCGUGGGGAUCAAACAGGAUUAGAUACCCUGGUAGUCCACGCCCUAAACGAUGAACACUCGCUGUUGGCGAUACACAGUCAGCGGCUAAGCGAAAGCGUUAAGUGUUCCACCUGGGGAGUACGCCCGCAAGGGUGAAACUCAAAGGAAUUGACGGGGGCCCGCACAAGCGGAGGAGCAUGUGGUUUAAUUCGAUGAUACGCGAGGAACCUUACCCGGGCUUGAAAGUUAGUGAAUGAUCCAGAGAUGGAUCAG
This 633-nucleotide ribosomal RNA is filed under the name Pedobacter sp. Ri3Ps_6482. Its description in RNAcentral is "bacterial SSU rRNA". It matches the Rfam family "Bacterial small subunit ribosomal RNA", at positions 380 to 1014 of the family's 1533-position model. Lineage: Bacteria; Pseudomonadati; Bacteroidota; Sphingobacteriia; Sphingobacteriales; Sphingobacteriaceae. The record is from RNAcentral.